RNAcentral lists this long non-coding RNA (3758 nucleotides) under Gossypium barbadense (sea-island cotton). RNAcentral's name for it is "long non-coding RNA (GBAR_LNC001451)". Lineage: Eukaryota; Viridiplantae; Streptophyta; Magnoliopsida; Malvales; Malvaceae. The record is from RNAcentral.
CCAUUAAAAAUUAAAAUAUCAUUCGGCCUAGCCUAAUCCCCACUUGGCCCACCGCUCAAACCAUUUGAAAGCCUACCAGCUUGCACCUUUUUCAUUUUUAGAUUACCAGACCCUGUAGACGGUACAAGAGAAAUAGAAUUAGUAAAAUUACAACAUUGAUCCUUGUCUUUUUGCAAAAAAUUUCCAGAUCCCAUAGGCCUUUUCCCCAUUGAUUUGGACCCGAUUUUCCCCCUGCUCAGGUCUGCUCUAGCAUUGUCCAGGCCACUUACCCCUGAGCCCAAAACAGGCCUAACCACAUCCACGGAGCCCGCAUCAGCCCAUGGUCCACUUCCUCUAAAUCCCCCAAAACCCUUUUGACUAAAGCUCUAUUCUCUUUAGAAUUACCUUCUAGAAUAACUUGGAUCUUUCCUUUUCCACUCACAAAACCCCCCAACGAAUGCAUUCAGACCACCGCCUAAACUAUUUCCCUCAACUAAAGGCGUGAAUCUAGAUCCCAACGGAUCUUUGCCUAAAAUAUCAUCCCCUUUUACCCUAGAGUUACGUGAUCUCCUCUGUGAUCUUUUCUCAACUAACAUCCAUCGUCCGAAAUCAUUGUUCUUUCCAUCUUCACCACCCCCGACCGUUACACCAGAAGCCAUCUCCGGCGAGGCUUUCAUUCCUUCAAAAAAGUCUUCGACCUCUCCAAAACCGCACCAACACCUGCCGCCGAACAUAACUCUUUAACGUGCCCAUAUCGUCCACAGUUGAAACAAACUGUCGGUAGAGAUUCAUACUCUACCCGUUAGAUGUCCCCGUCGACCAAAUCCUUAAAGAUAAGAGGUUGAUCAAGAUUGACAAACACAGCCAAUCGGGCAAACCUUCCUCGAGUACUUUUGUCAGUUUGAAAAUCUAAUUUGACUACUUUACCAAUUAAACCCCUAAUUGCUUCGAUGAUUUGCCUCUUGUAAAGGUAGCCCGGAAGCCCUAGCAGACGGAUCCAAGCCAACACCACACUGGGGUAAGGUUGUGUUGGAUUAAACGACCUCGUCCAAGGCUGCACAAUGAGGUAUUUCCCGAAAAAUAUCCACGAACCUUGAGUUAAAACUUUAUUUUAAUCUUCCAUGUCCUGAAACUUAACAAAAAAAUAACCAUUCGUGAUAUCCAUUAGAUGAAAGGAUUUUGUAGUGUUUCCAGAGGUUGAGUAUGCAAUUAUAAAGCACGUUAUAGCCAAUGUUUCGCCCGAGUAAUUUAAGAACAAUCGUUGAUUCCAUCUCCUUGGAGAGAAUAUCUUUGAUGCGCUCCGAAAAAGCGAUGGCCGGAAUCCCGUUAACCAUUGAGGUAUUCAUGUCACCAUCCAGAAUUUCUAAACCACCAUCGUCCCUUCCAAGAUUCCUUGCUAGAUUUCUAUCGGGGGAAGCCACCCCUCCUCCCAAAAGUUUCUCUUUGAAUGACAUCAUCGGCUGUUGCUCAGAAUCCACCACCAUACAAGUUUCUUCAGUACCUUCGACAUCUUUGAAACGUACUUUUUUGGUAUUCCGAUCACCGUCGUCAUAAGGAUUACUCAUUUUCUAGGAUUCAGAAUAAAGAAAAUUAUUUAAUACAUCGUCGGUUAGGAAAAUCCCCUUUAUUGUGGUUUGGUUGUGAUUUUAUAACAAGACUUUAAUUAUAGUGAAAUUUUUUAUGAACUUUCAAAGUCCCGUAAUUUUUACCCUUUACUUUAAAGGGGUUUUUCAUAUAAAAAUUGUGUGUUUCGAUUUAUUAUUUUUACUUAUGAUAUUAUGAUUUAUUUGGACCCAUUGUUAAUAUUUAUUGUAUUAUGAAAUUUUUUAUAAUUAUUAAAUUAAUGUUUUAAAAAGGAAAUAAUACCGAUUAUGCUUCCGUGAUUUUUCGUCGUGUUGGGAUUCGUCCCAAAUACUAAAUAAAAACUUGCCUACAAAUUUGUUAUUUUAUGUUUUUUUAAAUUUCACUUAUACCGUUCAAAUGAAUUAUCAACUAUAAAUGAUAAAAUGAAGACUACUACUUAUUCAAUUUAUAAAUAAAAAAUUGCAGGAGCCAUCGUGUAAGUAAACAUUGCAUGUGGUCAAGAUUAAUACACAUACAUUGUCAAAAGAUCUCUCUCCAAUCCCUGCUUUCAGGCUUGUGUAGGAAUUCUAUUAACAGGACAAUUCAUAGUAUCAUUUUCAUCCAAUACAUCCAACAUGAUAAAUGAUAUUAUUAAUCACUUUCAUUGUCAUUUUAUAUAAUAGUAUUUAUAUCAACUAUUAGUGUAUGGAAUGAUGACUUGUAACUCUUUACAAUUGAUUUUCGGACUAAAUUAAAUUAAGAAAUAAAUACAGAAGUUAAAUACUUUUAAAACUCAUUUACAAAUAAAAAAAAAAUUAAUCUUGCUAAUUCAGUUAAACUUGACCUCGGUCAUUAUGGUUCCACAAUCUAAUUAGUAUGAUAUAUAGAACCAUAAAAUUAGACCCUUUUGAUUCUAUUACACCAAUUCUAAAUAUAAGUAAGAUGGUGUAUUCUCAAGAUAAUAAAAUGAUGAAUGAUUGGGUUCCAGUAACAUGUCAAUAAAGCCAAUAAAAAAAAUGCUUUUAGGCAUGAGUUUAAACUAUCAUAUCACUCCUACAUUUGAGUUUAAAUUGUUAAUCUUAAGGAAAAUAUUGUUCCUCCAAAAAAUGAAGUUCUUGAGCACGAGAUUAAACUACAUGUUUAAAAAUAUUUUAAAAAAAUGUCAAGUCAAUAUUACUCGAUCUUCAAUAUACAAAGAUAUAUUAAUCUUUUUUUAUUGCGAAUUUCAAUUUAAAUGAAGAAAAAAAAAAUUCUUCACCUUGUCAAGAUAUUUUGAAAAUAAUUUUUAGAAACAAAUCGAGUUUCACAACUUGCCUACUUUCUAUGCUCAACAAAAGUUGUGUAUAUGACCAAGAAUAGGCAUUUGUAGAAGAAAAUUUUUGAAAACAAAUAAAAUUUUAUUAAGUGUCAUUAUUUAUUAUAUCUAACUAAAUUAAAUUAAAUUAAUUAAGCCAUAAAUAAAGAGGUAAAAUCAUUUUAGAACUCUUUUAUAAAGAAAUCAUAUUCCUCAAGGAUUAAUUUAUCUCUAAUUAAUUUAAAUUAAUACGAGAUAAAUAAUAAAUAAAAGAGCUUAAUCAAUGUAGAUAAUUUAAACUAAAGAAGCUAUAGAAAUAAUAACUCUUUUCUACUUGAUUAACUAACACUAUGGAAGGGAAUUGCCUCCAAGCCAUUUAAUACAACUUCAUAAAUUCAGAAGUCUAGAAGUACAAAAUAUAAAACUUGAAGAGAAAAUUCUUUAAGACUAAAAAUUCUUUUCAAAAUCCAAAUAAAUCUUUGAAGAAAUCAAAGAACUAGUAGAAAUUCUAAAGAACAUCACAUUAGAUUCUAAAGAAAGUUGCUCUUCGAUCUUGUCCAAUUAAUAAAAAGGUAGCUAAACUCGUUCUUUGAGAUCAAACCUAGAAGUACCUUAAAGCAUAAUUAUCCAUUCAAGAUCAAUUUUAGAAGAUACUUAGAUUAAAGCUAUCCUUAUACAUGCACAGACAGGAUGAAAUUUAUUAAAUUCCAAUCACCAAAGCUGCCAAUUUUCAAGCUUGGAAAAUCAGCAGACUUGCGACGACUUUUUGGAUGGGAUCCUAGCAUUUCUAGGUUGUUAUGUCUCACGGCAUUCAAAGAUCUAUCUCUUAUCUUCGAAACGUAUUUUGAAUCACUAGAUUUUGAGCUCAAGAGCUUAAGUUAUGACCGUUUCAAUGAAGACUAUGCGAGCAGAAUUUCUAAAC